Neofelis nebulosa (Clouded leopard) is the source of this 832-nucleotide long non-coding RNA. RefSeq lists it as uncharacterized. The record is from RefSeq and is a predicted model, not a curated record. The transcript has 2 exons. NCBI's taxonomy places the organism in Eukaryota, Metazoa, Chordata, Mammalia, Carnivora, Felidae.
UUUCUAUGUAGUAUAUGGAAUGGACUCUGUGUGUCAUUUAAAAGCACUUUAGCUGAUAUGAUAGAAGGAUGAUGGUUCUUGGAGUCAAUAGGUUUGAUUUUUAGUACUGAUUCUUCCAACUACCAGUUUUAAAAUGCUGGACAAUUUCUCUCUCUCUCUCUUUCUUUCUCUUUCUCUCUCUCCCUCCCUCCUUCCCCCUCCCCCCCUGCUUGUAAGAGAAAUAAAGAUUUCUUGUUCAUGGAGAUCUUGGGGAAGACCAAAUAAGAUGACAUAUAAAGCACUUAGCAAAUGUGUCACUCACAAAGCGGGUACUGAAUACAUGUUACUUCUCUCUCCUUCCCUGCCGGCCCUGCUGCUGUAUUUUAAACUCUGGUUACUGACAGUUUUAUAAAACUGCUAUGAAAUCUGAGGGGAACUGAAACUGUCAUUCUAAUUCAUGGGAGUUGGUUAUCUUCACAAUGGUCUCAGGCCCCGAAUAUGUGACACAAAUGUUUUUGUGAGCCCCCCUAAAACAGAAGGAAAUUUGUCUGGAUAUUAUUUUACUAAUCAUUCGUACCCAUCUUGGCUGUGGUGCACUAUCUUAUUUCUAUUACUCAAAGCUGUAUUUAAAGCAAACUUCUCCCCAAUUGCUGAUGAUAAAAUGUAGCUUCGGAGCCGGCUCAACCAAGUCUUUGUACAUUACUUCAUGUUUCAUUCAUUUAUGUUUCUAAUCUCAAUGCCAUUUUCAGUAUGUUUAACUGUAAGCUGUGUAUAACAUUAAAAUGCCUCUAUCACCUUAUUUUAAAAUAUAUAUAAACAGUGUCAUUCAUCUUAUAAAAAUGUAGUAAGUUGA